Long non-coding RNA from Zingiber officinale, 756 nucleotides. RefSeq lists it as uncharacterized. The transcript is spliced from 3 exons. NCBI's taxonomy places the organism in Eukaryota, Viridiplantae, Streptophyta, Magnoliopsida, Zingiberales, Zingiberaceae. The record is from RefSeq and is a predicted model, not a curated record.
CUUCCCCGUUUCUUCCUUGAUCUGCGCUGCGCGCCCUAGCCACACUCCGACCAUUUCUCCUUCUCUUCCCAAAACCGAUGCGCUGCUCGCUGCUCACUGCUCGCGUCUGUUUCUUUCCCUCCGGUGCAAAGGCAGUGGCCAAGGGAAAGCCUCGCACCUCUCCAGCUUCUCUCGAGCCUCACCUUUCCUCUUCCUCUUAUUCGAUUUCCCUCGGCUUAGCACCGUGCCCUAGCUGUCUCGGCCACACACCGCGAUCCCGACGCCACCAAUGUGCCUGACGCGCCGCCGCCGCCCUUUCUCGCGUCGCCUCGGUCACCACAGCCGACACCAGUGUAAGAGAGCAACGCCAAGCCUUCGCCUCUUCGGGUCGGGGACAGGAACCGAGCACCGGAGUUGAUCUAAUUCCAGUGCCCUAGCGCCGACAUCAGAACCCUAGCGCCGACUGUUUCCUCUGCCCUAGCACUGAUUUGGUGCCGCGGUUACCAACCGAUCGCCGGCGAGGGUGGACAUUUAAGGUUCAGGGGUAAUCUUGGAGAAGGGAUGCUUGAUUUCAGCGACCACAACACUGUGGGCUGGACGUUUACAUCGCUAGAUUUGUGAUCAACACCUGUAAUUGAAGAGGAAGAGUGUGGUGAUUCCGGCAGGUGAAGUUGUGCCUUGUGGUCUUGGAUCAGUGGUGGUUAAUCCCAAUUUGGGACUUGGAUUCGAGACGAGUGUCUCGACGUGGGAUCUUUCGGAUACGAUCUCCAUUUUUGA